Molecule: ribosomal RNA, 433 nt
Filed under: uncultured bacterium
Lineage: Bacteria
Description: partial 16S ribosomal RNA
Rfam family: Bacterial small subunit ribosomal RNA
Source: RNAcentral
AACGAACGCUGGCGGCAUGCCUAACACAUGCAAGUCGAACGAGACCUUCGGGUCUAGUGGCGCACGGGGGCGUAACGCGGGGGAACCUGCCCUUAGGUUCGGAAUAACUCCCCGAAAGGGGUGCUAAUACCGGAUAAUUUCUUCUGACAAAAGAUUUAUCGCCUUUGGAUGGGCCCGCGUUGGAUUAGCUAGUUGGGAGGGUAAAAGCCUACCAAGGCGUCGAUCCAUAGCUGGUCUGAGAGGAUGAUCAGCCACACUGGGACUGAGACACGGCCCAGACUCCUACGGGAGGCAGCAGUGGGGAAUAUUGGACAAUGGGCGAAAGCCUGAUCCAGCAAUGCCGCGUGAGUGAUGAAGGCCUUAGGGUUGUAAAGCUCUUUUACCCGGGAUGAUAAUGACAGUACCGGGAGAAUAAGCUCCGGCUAACUCCGUG